AAUGACGGUGUCAACGAGUCUGGGAACCUGGCCCGAAAGGGUUGGGCAAAUUGUUUCAUCACAGUCGUGACUGGGAUCGGGACUUGCAAUUAUUCCCCAUGAAC
This 104-nucleotide non-coding RNA is filed under the name Schistosoma margrebowiei. The record is from Rfam by way of RNAcentral. Lineage: Eukaryota; Metazoa; Platyhelminthes; Trematoda; Strigeidida; Schistosomatidae.